CACUCCAGUGGACCAUAAUCCUGACCGAGCACUAACACAACACAGCAACAUCAUUAGUAGAUUUCCAUAGACAUGGUGGUGUGAUCCAGGAUAGACAGAAUUGCUACAAAUGAAUCCUGGCUUUGUGGCGACUGGAGCUGGCUUGUGAAGGGUGAGAAAUCUGGUGAUCACAGCAGGUUCCUGGGCCAACAUGUUCCUCUCACACAUUGGACUGCAGCUGCCACUGAAGGUGGUGAAGAUAAAUGUGUGUUACUGGAUAGAGAAGCUUCCAGGCUCCUACAGCGUCAAUAACCGCCUCCCUUGCUUCGUCCAGCUGCUGCCAAAGAAGGCAGAGGAUGACAUCUAUGGCCUCCCAUCCAAUUAGUGUACAAGACUGAUGAAGUCAAACAGCUUGUAGGUCACAGACGAGUGCCUCUUUGUCCUGGAUCUUCACCCUUCACCUACAGCGGCACUGUGAUUGGAGCUGGAUGCUCAGGUCAGUUUAAACAGUGAACCACACACAGUUUGUACUCCCACACACACACACACACACACACACACACACAACCACACACAACCACAUACGCACCCUUACCAUCUGAAAAAGCCAGCUCAACUUUUAAUGAGGGACUGAGCAGGGGCAGCAGUGAAGGACGGCAUGUGAAGCCCCCAGUGCGGACCCCUUUUAUCCUCUAAUUAAAGGCGCUUGUGGCUCCCUGGGCUCGUGCGUGCCUCCGCAGCCGCCGCUCCGGG
Molecule: long non-coding RNA, 732 nt
Filed under: Astyanax mexicanus (Mexican tetra)
Lineage: Eukaryota; Metazoa; Chordata; Actinopteri; Characiformes; Acestrorhamphidae
Description: lncRNA (ENSAMXG00005008326.1)
Source: RNAcentral